Molecule: ribosomal RNA, 209 nt
Filed under: uncultured bacterium
Lineage: Bacteria
Description: partial 16S ribosomal RNA
Rfam family: Bacterial small subunit ribosomal RNA
Source: RNAcentral
CUCCUACGGGAGGCAGCAGUGGGGAAUCGUUGCGCAAUGCGCGAAAGCGUGACGCAGCAACGCCGCGUGGGGGAAGAAGGGCUUUCGGGGUUGUUAAACCCCCGUUUUCAACGUUUGGGACGAAGGCUUCUUCGGUUAAUAGCCGAACGGAGUGACGGUACCUUCACAAGAAGCACCGGCUAACUACGUGCCAGCAGCCGCGGUAAUAC